Molecule: unclassified non-coding RNA, 349 nt
Filed under: soil metagenome
Description: partial contains 5.8S ribosomal RNA, internal transcribed spacer 2, and large subunit ribosomal RNA
Rfam family: 5.8S ribosomal RNA (bases 1-120)
Source: RNAcentral
GAUGAAGAACGUAGCGAAAUGCGAUAAGUAAUGUGAAUUGCAGAAUUCAGUGAAUCAUCGAAUCUUUGAACGCACAUUGCGCCCCCUGGUAUUCCGGGGGGCAUGCCUGUUCGAGCAUCAUUUCAACCCUCAAGCUCUGCUUGGUAUUGGGCGUCGCCGGGGAGUCUCCCCGGCGUGCCUCAAAGCCAUCGGCGGUGGUGCCUUUCUCUAAGCGUGGUAGAAUUUUUAUUCGCUUCUGAGUUGGGCUUCGCCUGCCGGACAAACCGGGCCCUCGCGGCCCACCUUCUCAGGUUGACCUCGGAUCAGGUAGGGAUACCCGCUGAACUUAAGCAUAUCAAUAAGCGGAGGA